RNAcentral lists this ribosomal RNA (116 nucleotides) under Streptococcus suis GZ1. The record is from RNAcentral. Lineage: Bacteria; Bacillati; Bacillota; Bacilli; Lactobacillales; Streptococcaceae.
UUAAGUGACGAUAGCCUAGGAGAUACACCUGUACCCAUGCCGAACACAGCAGUUAAGCCCUAGAACGCCUGAAGUAGUUGGGGGUUGCCCCCUGUUAGAUACGGUAAUCGCUUAGC